UUUGCCUAUUCCCCAAACGGAGGAAAAGAAACCAACAGGGAUUGCCUUAGUAACGGCGAGUGAAGCGGCAAAAGCUCAAAUUUGAAAUCUGGCACCUUCGGUGUCCGAGUUGUAAUUUGAAGAAGGUAACUUUGGAGUUGGCUCUUGUCUAUGUUCCUUGGAACAGGACGUCACAGAGGGUGAGAAUCCCGUGCGAUGAGAUGCCCAAUUCUAUGUAAAGUGCUUUCGAAGAGUCGAGUUGUUUGGGAAUGCAGCUCUAAGUGGGUGGUAAAUUCCAUCUAAAGCUAAAUAUUGGCGAGAGACCGAUAGCGAACAAGUACAGUGAUGGAAAGAUGAAAAGAACUUUGAAAAGAGAGUGAAAAAGUACGUGAAAUUGUUGAAAGGGAAGGGCUUGAGAUCAGACUUGGUAUUUUGCGAUCCUUUCCUUCUUGGUUGGGUUCUCCGCAGCUUACUGGGCCAGCAUCGGUUUGGAUGGUAGGAUAAUGAUUAAGGAAUGUAUCUCUACUUCGGUGGAGUGUUAUAGCCUUGGUUGAUACUGCCUGUCUAGACCGAGGACUGCGUCUUGACUAGAUGCUGCAAAUCCC
This 584-nucleotide ribosomal RNA is filed under the name Debaryomyces nepalensis. RNAcentral describes it as "eukaryotic LSU rRNA". It matches the Rfam family "Eukaryotic large subunit ribosomal RNA", at positions 35 to 636 of the family's 3401-position model. The record is from RNAcentral. Lineage: Eukaryota; Fungi; Ascomycota; Pichiomycetes; Serinales; Debaryomycetaceae.